CCUCAUGGAUACCGUGUCAGAACUAAAGAUGGCCUACCGGGACUUGGAAGACGAGUUCAACCAUCUUCGCAUUAGCAAUAAUUUGAAGAUCAAGAGAAUCGCUAAGGCGAUCAACAGAGAGGAUCUCCUAGAGAUCCCGUCUCCCUAGUUUACUUUAAUUAGACUAUUAGACACUUAGUUUGAAUAAAAAUGUUUAGUUAGGAUAAAACAAGACAUUGAGUUCUGCUGGUGUGUUGCCACAAGCAGAACAUGUGCACGUGACGUCUCUUGUUUUGUUGAAAUUUAGAACGCAGAAAACCUCAAGUGUGGGUGAUCGGCCGAUCCACCCAAUGUCAUCACUGGACGAAACAAAGCACGCACUUUGGUCAGGAGCACAUAUCCGAGUUGACACGCCAAAUAUUGACCCAAAAGAUGGGUCGGUCGACCGAGGCUUUUGCACCAUCCGGAAAACGGACGUCACAACAACACUCCACGCGUCGAGGGGAACACAGGGGCCACCCUGGGCACACCAGGGUAGGGUCGGUUGACCCAGUGGCGGAGCCAGGAUUUCACAGCUGGGUAUUCCCCGUAUAAAAAAAUUUAAUGCAUAUGUGUAAUAGUAAUGGAGAUAAAAUCAAUACAAAAUUAAUCCUGGUGCACAACUCAAAUAGUACAUAUUAAAAUAUAUGCUAAAUGAACUAUUUGUUUAUCCUGGUAAUAAGGCAUCAGACAAAGUGAGCCUAAUGUCGCCCUGGUAAUAAUCAAAGUAUAUAUAAAUUCUUUAUCUAUGUUACAAGAACACAAUGCAACAUUGCUUUAAAAAAAUCAAAACGCAACAAAAAAAAGAAAACGAAACCUUUAAUUCUUACUUUGAAGAAUAAAAAAAUAGAUGUGAGAUCUUUGUGUUCACCUUGUUGUUGCUUCAAGUCGUAUAUGAGAAAGGCGUUGAGGGGGAGCCGUAUAUGAGAAAGCCUACAAAGACCACUGACCGCCGUCGCCGCUAGAGGAAU
RNAcentral lists this long non-coding RNA (989 nucleotides) under Sorghum bicolor (sorghum). Its description in RNAcentral is "long non-coding RNA (SBIC_LNC006708)". The record is from RNAcentral. Lineage: Eukaryota; Viridiplantae; Streptophyta; Magnoliopsida; Poales; Poaceae.